RNAcentral lists this unclassified non-coding RNA (497 nucleotides) under uncultured Glomus. Its description in RNAcentral is "SSU rRNA". It matches the Rfam family "Eukaryotic small subunit ribosomal RNA", at positions 591 to 1092 of the family's 1831-position model. Lineage: Eukaryota; Fungi; Glomeromycota; Glomeromycetes; Glomerales; Glomeraceae. The record is from RNAcentral.
CCAAUAGCGUAUAUUAAAGUUGUUGCAGUUAAAAAGCUCGUAGUUGAAUUUCGGGAUUAGUACGUUGGUCGUGCCUUCGGUACGUACUGGUGUUACUGAUUCCUACCUUCUGACGAACCAUCAUGUCAUUAAUUUGGUGUGGCGGGGAAUCAGGACUGUUACUUUGAAAAAAUUAGAGUGUUUAAAGCAGGCUCGCGCUUGAAUACAUUAGCAUGGAAAAAUGAAAUAGGACGUUGACCCUAUUUUGUUGGUUUCUAGGAUUGACGUAAUGAUUAAUAGGGAUAGUUUGGGGCAUUAGUAUUCAAUUGUCAGAGGUGAAAUUCUUGGAUUUAUUGAAGACUAACUACUGCGAAAGCAUUUGCCAAGGAUGUUUUCAUUAAUCAAGAACGAAAGUUAGGGGAUCGAAGACGAUCAGAUACCGUCGUAGUCUUAACCAUAAACUAUGCCGACUAGGGAUCGGAUGAUGUUAUUUUUAAUGACUCAUUCGGCGCCUUACG